This is a non-coding RNA of Triticum aestivum (bread wheat), 115 nucleotides long. The record is from Rfam. NCBI's taxonomy places the organism in Eukaryota, Viridiplantae, Streptophyta, Magnoliopsida, Poales, Poaceae.
GAUCUAUUCCCUCUGUUCCGAAUUACUUGUCAUAGAAAUAAAUGUAUCUAGACGUAUUUUAGUUCUAAAUACAUUCAUUAACGAGACAAGUAAUUCCGAACGGAGGGAGUAUUUU